RNAcentral lists this ribosomal RNA (547 nucleotides) under uncultured bacterium. RNAcentral describes it as "bacterial SSU rRNA". It matches the Rfam family "Bacterial small subunit ribosomal RNA", at positions 28 to 575 of the family's 1533-position model. The record is from RNAcentral.
AUUGAACGCUGGCGGCAUGCCUAACACAUGCAAGUCGAACGGGGUUGGCUUCGGCCAGCCUAGUGGCGGACGGGUGAGUAAUGCGUGGGAAUCUGCCUCGUAGUGGGGGAUAACGUAGGGAAACUUACGCUAAUACCGCAUACGCUCUACGGAGGAAGGGGGGGGGGUCUUCGGACCUCUCGCUAUGAGAUGAGCCCACGUCUGAUUAGCUAGUUGGUGGGGUAAAGGCCUACCAAGGCGACGAUCAGUAGCCGGCCUGAGAGGGUGUACGGCCACACUGGGACUGAGACACGGCCCACACUCCUACGGGAGGCAGCAGUGGGGAAUAUUGAACAAUGGGCGAAAGCCUGAUCCAGCAAUGCCGCGUGUGUAAAGAAGGCCUGCGGGUUGUAAAGCACUUUAAGUGGAGAAGAAUGGGGUUGCGCUAAUACCGUGAUCCUUUGACGUUACCCACAAAAUAAGCACCGGCUAACUCCGUGCCAGCAGCCGCGGUAAUACGGAGGGUGCGAGCGUUAAUCGGAAUUACUGGGCGUAAAGCGCAUGUAGG